GGAAGGAUCAUUAUCAUACAACGGAGGUGCGAGGGCUGUCGCUGACCUUCAAAGGUCGUGCACGCCCAAGCGCUCUCACCCAAUCCAUCUCACCCCUUUUGUGCAUCACCGCGUGGGUCCCCCCUUUGCGGGGAGGGCUUGCGUUUUCACAUCAAACUCGAUACAGUGUAGAAUGUCUAUUUUUGCGGUCACACGCAAUCAAUACAACUUUCAACAACGGAUCUCUUGGCUCUCGCAUCGAUGAAGAACGCAGCGAAAUGCGAUACGUAAUGUGAAUUGCAGAAUUCAGUGAAUCAUCGAAUCUUUGAACGCACCUUGCGCCCCUUGGCAUUCCGAGGGGCACACCCGUUUGAGUGUCGUGAAACCCUCAAAACCCUUUUCUUUGAUCCUUUACGGUCGGGAAAAGGAUUUUUGGACUUGGAGGUUCAAUGCUCGCUUUCACUUUUGAAAGCGAGCUCCUCUCAAAUGAAUCAGUGGGAUCCGCUUUGCCGAUCUUUGACGUGAUAAGAUGUUUCUACGUUUUGGAUUUGGCACUGUCCCUUGGAUGCCCGCUCCUAACCGUCUCAUGGACAACGAUGGUGCUCCGGUCACCGCCAUCUACAUUGGCGGGAGGCUUGACCCACAAAAAAACCUUGACCUCAAAUCGGGUGAGACUACCCGCUGAACUUAAGCAUAUCAAUAAGCGGAGGAAAAGAAACUAACA
Molecule: small RNA, 703 nt
Filed under: uncultured fungus
Lineage: Eukaryota; Fungi
Description: eukaryotic LSU rRNA
Rfam family: 5.8S ribosomal RNA (bases 206-359)
Source: RNAcentral